UUUUGGCAUAGCUGGUAGGAUUUUACAGUGACCUCCCUAGAUCAUCCAGCAUGGCUUCCAGCAUUUGUGCCGAUACUAGCAAUGGACCCAUUGUAUUCCUGAACUCAGAUACCCUUGCUGGGUACUACAGAUGAGCUCCUCCCAAAAUCAGUAAACCUCUCGUCUUGGUGAAAGUUCUAGUUUACUGAAGCUGUUUUUUUCCUUGGCUAAGAGGUCAAAGACUCUCUCAAAAUUAGAGUUACUCCCAUGAAUUCAAGGUUCUGAGAUGGCAACUGCUGGUUUCAUUUGUCUGGAGAUUUCAUCUUUCAGAGCUGUCAAGGAUUUUAGUGGCUAUAAGGAGAGAACUCUGAUGAUAAAGUUUAUUGAUUCAUGACUGCAUUCAUAUAAAACACUAAAUGGAAUUUUGAAUGGCAAGAAACAUGUUUUGUACAUUCAAUAAAUGAGAAUCUGUGUAUCAUGAAAAUGGUAACACUUAGUAUGAUAAUUUUCAGUUUAUAAAGUGUUUUAUUUAAUUCUGACAAUAAUCCUGUAAGGUAGCUGAGUUGUUGAGUUAUAGUAGCACUCAAUGUAUACCCUUCAACCCCUGCCACAAACACACAAAUGCAUGUUCAGUUUUCUUUCAUAUACAAAAUAUCCCAUCUCCCCAAACCGUUACCCCAUCUCAUACUUUGUUCACUUCUAAAAUUCCUGGAAAGGUGAAAUGUUCCCAUAACUGUCUUCAACUCAUCACUACCACUCCAUGAGAUCUGGUCUAAUCUUUGCCAUUAUAGAAAAUCUCACUUAGUUACUAAUAACUUCCUUGUUGCUAAAUGUAGUGAAGUUUCCUCUAUAUGUAUCAUUCGAAG
This 845-nucleotide long non-coding RNA is filed under the name Homo sapiens (human). RNAcentral's name for it is "HSALNT0018741". The record is from RNAcentral. Lineage: Eukaryota; Metazoa; Chordata; Mammalia; Primates; Hominidae.